RNAcentral lists this ribosomal RNA (254 nucleotides) under uncultured bacterium. Its description in RNAcentral is "partial 16S ribosomal RNA". It matches the Rfam family "Bacterial small subunit ribosomal RNA", at positions 524 to 776 of the family's 1533-position model. The record is from RNAcentral.
GACGGAGGGGGCGAGCGUUGUUCGGAAUUAUUGGGCGUAAAGGGCUCGUAGGCGGGCCCGCAGGUCUGGCGUGAAAUCUCCACUGCUCAACAGGGAGAGGUCGCUGGAAACCGCGGGCCUGGAGUAGGGUAGAGGGUUGUGGAAUUCCAGGUGUAGCGGUGGAAUGCGUAGAGAUCUGGAGGAACACCGGUGGCGAAGGCGGCAACCUGGACCCAUACUGACGCUGAGGAGCGAAAGCCAGGGGAGCGAACAGG